RNAcentral lists this ribosomal RNA (257 nucleotides) under uncultured bacterium. RNAcentral describes it as "partial 16S ribosomal RNA". It matches the Rfam family "Bacterial small subunit ribosomal RNA", at positions 524 to 776 of the family's 1533-position model. The record is from RNAcentral.
UACGUAGGGUGCAAGCGUUGUCCGGAAUUAUUGGGCGUAAAGAGCUCGUAGGCGGUUUGUCGCGUCUGCUGUGAAAACCCGAGGCUCAACCUCGGGCCUGCAGUGGGUACGGGCAGACUAGAGUGCGGUAGGGGAGAUUGGAAUUCCCGGUGUAGCGGAUGAAAUGCGCAGAUGAGUCGGGAGGAACACCGGUGGCGAAGGCGGUUCUCUGGGCCUUACCUGACGCUGGAGGAGCGAAAGCGUGGGGAGCGAACAGG